This 66-nucleotide transfer RNA is filed under the name Gymnothorax prismodon. Its description in RNAcentral is "tRNA-Cys". It matches the Rfam family "tRNA". From Rfam's summary of the family: Transfer RNA (tRNA) molecules are approximately 80 nucleotides in length. Their secondary structure includes four short double-helical elements and three loops (D, anti-codon, and T loops). Lineage: Eukaryota; Metazoa; Chordata; Actinopteri; Anguilliformes; Muraenidae. The record is from RNAcentral.
AGCUUUAUGGUGUAAUGCAUGCCAGACUGCAAACCUGGUGGCGCAGGGUAACUCCUGCUAAAGCUU